This 1092-nucleotide ribosomal RNA is filed under the name Cellulomonas iranensis. Its description in RNAcentral is "bacterial SSU rRNA". It matches the Rfam family "Bacterial small subunit ribosomal RNA", at positions 182 to 1288 of the family's 1533-position model. The record is from RNAcentral. Lineage: Bacteria; Bacillati; Actinomycetota; Actinomycetes; Micrococcales; Cellulomonadaceae.
CGCACGGGGAUCUGUAGCGUCUGGAAAGAUUUAUCGGUGAAGGAUGGACUCGCGGCCUAUCAGCUUGUUGGUGGGGUAACGGCCUACCAAGGCGACGACGGGUAGCCGGCCUGAGAGGGCGACCGGCCACACUGGGACUGAGACACGGCCCAGACUCCUACGGGAGGCAGCAGUGGGGAAUAUUGCACAAUGGGCGCAAGCCUGAUGCAGCGACGCCGCGUGCGGGAUGACGGCCUUCGGGUUGUAAACCGCUUUCAGCAGGGAAGAAGCGAGAGUGACGGUACCUGCAGAAGAAGCGCCGGCUAACUACGUGCCAGCAGCCGCGGUAAUACGUAGGGCGCAAGCGUUGUCCGGAAUUAUUGGGCGUAAAGAGCUCGUAGGCGGUUUGUCGCGUCUGCUGUGAAAACCUCAGGCUCAACCUGGGGCUUGCAGUGGGUACGGGCAGACUAGAGUGCGGUAGGGGUGACUGGAAUUCCUGGUGUAGCGGUGGAAUGCGCAGAUAUCAGGAGGAACACCGAUGGCGAAGGCAGGUCACUGGGCCGCAACUGACGCUGAGGAGCGAAAGCAUGGGGAGCGAACAGGAUUAGAUACCCUGGUAGUCCAUGCCGUAAACGUUGGGCACUAGGUGUGGGGUCCAUUCCACGGAUUCCGUGCCGCAGCAAACGCAUUAAGUGCCCCGCCUGGGGAGUACGGCCGCAAGGCUAAAACUCAAAGAAAUUGACGGGGGCCCGCACAAGCGGCGGAGCAUGCGGAUUAAUUCGAUGCAUCGCGAAGAACCUUACCAAGGCUUGACAUACACCGGAUACGUGCAGAGAUGUGCGCCCCGCAAGGUCGGUGUACAGGUGGUGCAUGGUUGUCGUCAGCUCGUGUCGGGAGAUGUUGGGUUAAGUCCCGCAACGAGCGCAACCCUCGUCUCAUGCUGCCAGCGGGUUAUGCCGGGGACUCAUGGGAGACUGCCGGGGUCAACUCGGAGGAAGGGGGGGAUGACGUCAAAUCAUCAUGCCCCUUAUGUCUUGGGCUUCAGCCAUGCUACAAUGGCCGGUACAAGGGCUGCGAUACCGCGAGGUGGAGCGAAAUCCAAAUAGCCGGUCU